AAGAUGAGAGGAGAGGAUGGGGAGGGAGGAGUAACAAAAGUAAAAACUAAAAGUGAAAACUAAAAUCUAUUUCAAAUUGUUUUCACUUUCAAGUUUUUGUUUUCACUUUUGUUACUCCUCCCUCUCAUCUUUCCCUCUCAUCAUC
Molecule: microRNA precursor, 145 nt
Filed under: Prunus dulcis (almond)
Lineage: Eukaryota; Viridiplantae; Streptophyta; Magnoliopsida; Rosales; Rosaceae
Description: sRNA ncRNA
Source: RNAcentral